The submitters of this non-coding RNA (94 nucleotides) gave its source as unclassified sequences. The record is from Rfam.
UACCGUGCCACUUGGCAAAACAUCAAAAUUCAUGGACUGUAUUAGUAGGUUGCACUCAUUUGUGCAAGUCGAAAGUUCGGUUCAGUGCAUACAG